Molecule: ribosomal RNA, 410 nt
Filed under: Campylobacter coli
Lineage: Bacteria; Pseudomonadati; Campylobacterota; Epsilonproteobacteria; Campylobacterales; Campylobacteraceae
Description: partial 23S ribosomal RNA
Rfam family: Bacterial large subunit ribosomal RNA
Source: RNAcentral
ACCCAUAGGCGUUGAAAAGCCCCGGGAUGACUUGUGGAUAGGGGUGAAAGGCCAAUCAAACUUCGUGAUAGCUGGUUCUCUCCGAAAUAUAUUUAGGUAUAGCGUUGUGUCGUAAUAUAAGGGGGUAGAGCACUGAAUGGGCUAGGGCAUACACCAAUGUACCAAACCCUAUCAAACUCCGAAUACCUUAUAUGUAAUCACAGCAGUCAGGCGGCGAGUGAUAAAAUCCGUCGUCAAGAGGGAAACAACCCAGACUACCAGCUAAGGUCCCUAAAUCUUACUUAAGUGGAAAACGAUGUGAAGUUACUUAAACAACCAGGAGGUUGGCUUAGAAGCAGCCAUCCUUUAAAGAAAGCGUAAUAGCUCACUGGUCUAGUGAUUUUGCGCGGAAAAUAUAACGGGGCUAAAGU